GGUUUUGGCUCAGUGGUAGAGUGCUUGCCUAGCACAUGUGGGGUGCUGGGUUCGAGCCUCAGUACCA
RNAcentral lists this transfer RNA (67 nucleotides) under Marmota monax (woodchuck). Its description in RNAcentral is "tRNA.Ala". Lineage: Eukaryota; Metazoa; Chordata; Mammalia; Rodentia; Sciuridae. The record is from RNAcentral.